UGUGGUUCAGUGGUAGAAUCCUUAUCUAUCACACAAGAGACUUGGGUUCAAUUCCCAGACA
Alligator sinensis (Chinese alligator) is the source of this 61-nucleotide non-coding RNA. Lineage: Eukaryota; Metazoa; Chordata; Crocodylia; Alligatoridae. The record is from Rfam.